RNAcentral lists this ribosomal RNA (492 nucleotides) under uncultured bacterium. RNAcentral's name for it is "partial 16S ribosomal RNA". It matches the Rfam family "Bacterial small subunit ribosomal RNA", at positions 29 to 507 of the family's 1533-position model. The record is from RNAcentral.
AGUGAACGCUGGCGGUAGGCCUAACACAUGCAAGUCGAACGGCAGCACAGUAAGAGCUUGCUCUUACGGGUGGCGGGUGGCGGACGGGUGAGGAAUACGUCGGAAUCUACUUUUUCGUGGGGGAUAACGUAGGUAAACUUACGCUAAUACCGCAUACGACCUACGGGUGAAAGCAGGGGAUCUUCGGACCUUGCGCGAUUGAAUGAGCGGAUGUCGGAUUUGCUGGUUGGCGGGGUAAAGGCCCACCAAGGCGAAGAUCCGUAGCUGGUCUGAGAGGAUGAUCAGCCACACUGGAACUGAGACACGGUCCAGACCCCUACGGGAGGCAGCAGUGGGGAAUAUUGGACAAUGGGCGCAAGCCUGAUCCAGCCAUACCGCGUGGGUGAAGAAGGCCUUCGGGUUGUAAAGCCCUUUUGUUGGGAAAGAAAAGCAGCAGGUUAAUACCCCGCUGUUCUGACGGUACCCAAAGAAUAAGCACCGGCUAACUUCGUG